AACGAACGCUGGCGGCAGGCCUAACACAUGCAAGUCGAACGAGAUCUUCGGAUCUAGUGGCGGACGGGUUAGUAACGCGUGGGAACGUGCCUCUCUCUACGGAACAGUCCUGGGAAACUGGGUUUAAUACCGUAUACGCCCUUUGGGGGAAAGAUUUAUCGGAGAGAGAUCGGCCCGCGUUGGAUUAGGUAGUUGGUGGGGUAAUGGCCUACCAAGCCUACGAUCCAUAGCUGGUUUGAGAGGAUGAUCAGCAACACUGGGACUGAGACACGGCCCAGACUCCUACGGGAGGCAGCAGUGGGGAAUCUUAGACAAUGGGGGCAACCCUGAUCUAGCCAUGCCGCGUGAGUGACGAAGGCCUUAGGGUCGUAAAGCUCUUUCGCUGGGGAAGAUAAUGACGGUACCCAGUAAAGAAACCCCGGCUAACUCCGUGCCAGCCGCCGCCGUAACAC
RNAcentral lists this ribosomal RNA (452 nucleotides) under uncultured bacterium. RNAcentral's name for it is "bacterial SSU rRNA". It matches the Rfam family "Bacterial small subunit ribosomal RNA", at positions 29 to 526 of the family's 1533-position model. The record is from RNAcentral.